RNAcentral lists this ribosomal RNA (254 nucleotides) under uncultured bacterium. Its description in RNAcentral is "partial 16S ribosomal RNA". It matches the Rfam family "Bacterial small subunit ribosomal RNA", at positions 524 to 776 of the family's 1533-position model. The record is from RNAcentral.
UACGGGGGGGGGCAAGCGUUGUUCGGAAUUACUGGGCGUAAAGGGCUCGUAGGCGGCCAACUAAGUCGGACGUGAAAUCCCCAGGCUCAACCUGGGAACUGCGUCUGAUACUGGAUGGCUUGAAUCCGGGAGAGGGAUGCAGAAUUCCAGGUGUAGCGGUGAAAUGCGUAGAUAUCUGGAGGAAUACCGGUGGCGAAGGCGGCAUCCUGGACCGGCAUUGACGCUGAUGAGCGAAAGCUAGGGGAGCAAACGGG